GAUGAACGCUGGCGGCGUGCUUAACACAUGCAAGUCGAACGGAAAGGCUCCUGCUUGCAGGGGUACUCGAGUGGCGAACGGGUGAGUAACACGUGGGUGAUCUGCCCUGCACUUCGGGAUAAGCCUGGGAAACUGGGUCUAAUACCGGAUAGGACGAUGGUUUGGAUGCCAUUGUGGAAAGUUUUUCGGUGUGGGAUGAGCUCGCGGCCUAUCAGCUUGUUGGUGGGGUAAUGGCCUACCAAGGCGUCGACGGGUAGCCGGCCUGAGAGGGUGUACGGCCACAUUGGGACUGCGAUACGGCCCAGACUCCUACGGGAGGCAGCAGUGGGGAAUAUUGCACAAUGGGCGCAAGCCUGAUGCAGCGACGCCGCGUGGGUGAUGACGGCCUUCGGGUUGUAAACUCCUUUCGCUAGGGACGAAGCGCAAGUGACGGUACCUGGAGAAGAAGCACCGGCUAACUACGUG
This 465-nucleotide ribosomal RNA is filed under the name uncultured bacterium. RNAcentral describes it as "partial 16S ribosomal RNA". It matches the Rfam family "Bacterial small subunit ribosomal RNA", at positions 28 to 507 of the family's 1533-position model. The record is from RNAcentral.